This is a non-coding RNA of Paramuricea clavata, 3576 nucleotides long. Lineage: Eukaryota; Metazoa; Cnidaria; Anthozoa; Malacalcyonacea; Plexauridae. The record is from the annotation of a GenBank genome assembly.
CUGGUGGAUCCCAAGUUAAAAAACAGUCUAAACAAGUAAACUUGGUUGUCACAAGCUUAAACAGAAACUUUUCAGAGAAUUUAUCUGCUAAUGUCCUGGACAAUAUAACUGGAGACACACCCGCUUUUAACUGGGCAGACUUGAAAGCAAAGUGGCCCCAUUUGGCUUCCAUUUCCUUUGAGCAAACUUCAAGACGAAAGCAGAUAGAUGUGUUGAUAGGCAGCGAUCACCCAUUGUUUCACCAUGUUCUGAAGGAAGUGCACGGUAGUAAAACUACAGACCCAAUAGCAAGACUUACCAAUUUAGGUUGGGUUUGCUUUGGGCCUACCAUCGUUGAGGAACACCGGCGUAAAUCGCGUUCAUAUUUUACACGUACUUACCGUUCAAGCCAGGUUGAGCAGCCAACCGUUCAGCAACAAGACCACCAGCUCCGACAAUUCUGGGAGCUUGAAGCUCUGGGAAUCAAGGACACUGACGACAGAACCUUUGAUGAGAAAGAAGCAGUAGUCAAGGUAACAGAGAGUACAAUUUAUGACAAGGGAAGAUAUUCUGUGGGAAUCCCUUGGAAGAAAGAAGAACCAAACUUGAACAAUAACUAUGAUAUGGCGUUAAUAAGACUUAAGAGGCAGGAGAAAGCGCUCAAAAGAAAAGGCUCCGAAGCAACGCACACAUAUAACAAGAUAAUUGAAGAUUACGAGAAGAAGGGUUAUGUGAAGAAGAUAGAAAAGACCAAUGAAAUAAACCAAUGGUUUUUGCCACAUUUUGCUGUAAUCAAGGAAGAAAGAACCACUACAAAGACACGAAUUGUAUUUGAUGCUGCAGCAAAAGAUCGUGGCAAAAGUUUAAAUGACGCAAUUCGAGCUGGUCCUAAGCUUCAAAAGGACUUAUUGAACGUUCUGAUACGAUUCAGACGCUCCCCUAUCGCCUUAUCAGGAGAUAUUUCAGAGAUGUUCUUACAAGUAGGCUUGUUGAAAGAUGAUCGGGCUUAUCAUCGAUUUCUUUGGCGUAAUUUAGACGCAUCCCGAGAACCUGAUGUGUACGAAUUCCAACGGCUAGUGUUUGGCAACACAGCGUCACCAUUUUGUGCACAAUUCAUCGUCCAGAAACAUGCGGAGGAUAAAGCAGAACAUUAUCCCGAAGCUGCAGACACGGUUUGCAACUCCAUGUACGUAGACGACGUUCUAGAUUCAUGCGAGACUUCCAAAGAUGCCAUAGAAUUAAGGAGACAACUUUCAGAGUUGUUGAAUUCGGCGAGUUUCCGACUUCGAAAGUGGUCAUCGAAUGACAAGUCAGUACUAGAAGACGUGCCAGAGGAAGAUCGACAACCCGGAUUAGAGAUACGCGAAGAUGGACGCCCAACAGGAAAAGUGAAGACCCUCGGAGUGACAUGGAAAUCCGAAAACGAUGUAUUCACAUUCAACGUGGAAAUACCAGAGAUCAAGGAGAUAACCACGAAGAGAGAAGUAUUAAGCGCAAUUUCAACUCUGUUUGAUCCUCUUCAAUUUCUUUCACCUUUUACAGUAAGAGCCAAAAUCCUUAUGCAGGACAUAUGGACUGCUGGGCUAGAUUGGGAUGAUCCACUACCGAGGACCCUAUUAGACCGUUGGCAUAACUGGGUGAACGAGUUACAACACCUUUCCUCCUUUGAGAUUCCACGAUGUUUGCGACAUCCCUCCCCUGAUGAAAUAGAAUUACAUAUGUUCUCUGAUGCUUCAAAGGAUGCCUAUGCAGCUUGUGCUUAUCUCGUUUGUCGUUAUGAAGGAAACACACCAACAUCAGUAUUGAUUGCAUCGAAGAGUCGAGUUGCACCAGUUAAAUCGAUGACUAUUCCUAGACUUGAGUUGAUGGGAGCGGUUAUUUCAACUCGUUUGGCAAAUACCAUACUCAAGUCAAUUGUAGUAUCCAAAGUGAUUUACUGGACAGAUUCUACGAACGUUCUAUAUUGGGUGAGAAACCAGAGUCGCAAUUUCAAAACCUUCAUCGCCAACAGAAUCGGGGAAAUCCAAAAUUCGACAAACCCAGAACAGUGGAGACAUGUCCCGGGAGAACUCAACCCCGCUGAUUUGGCAACUCGAGGAAUAAAGGUUUCUGAGCUAGCAUAGAGCAGAGUAUGGAAAGAAGGACCACAGUUCGUUUUAGAAAAUGAGACAAAUUGGCCUGCACGCGUACCUGGAAUGGAUACAUUAUCAAGUGACACGAAAGAAGAGUGUAAAAUGGUGCGAACAAAUGCCACUCAAGCAUUGGACAGUAACGAAUUGAAUCCACAGAACUUUUCAGAUUUCAGACGACUUGUUCGUGUAACAGCAUGGGUACGGCGUUUUACGAGCAACUGCAAAUGUCGACCAGAGCAAAGAGAUCUAAGCAAAAGUUUAUCGAUUGGAGAAGUAAAGAAAGCAGAAUUUUAUUGGUUCAAACGUGCACAAACAGAAAGGUUUCAAGACACUAAAGGACGGAAAAGUCUGGAGAACUUGAAUCCCAUGAAAGACGAGGAUGGACUUCUUCGUAUAGACGGACGCUUACGCCAUGCAGACAUACCGUACGAAAGUAAACACCCAGUGAUUUUACCCAAAGAACACCCUAUCACGGAACUUGUAGUAAGAGCGGUUCAUGAACAACUCGGACAUGGUUCUGGAGUAGAACACACUCUUUCCGAAUUACGUAGUAGGUUUUGGGUGAUAAGAGGACGGGCUGUAGUACGUAAAAUUCUUAAUCAUUGCCAAGUGUGUAAGAAACGCUUUACUGCUAAACCUAUUGGUCAAAUGAUGGCACCGCUGCCGAGACCAAGAGUAAUUUCAUCGAUGAAAGCCUUUUGUCGAGUAGGAGUAGACUACGGAGGCCCAUACCUGACAAAACAAGGUCGCGGCAAGAGUAGAGCAAAAAGAUAUCUCUGUUUAUUUACUUGUCUCGUGACACGCGCGGUACAUUUGGAAAUGGCCUAUGCAUUAGACACAGAUUCGUUUAUGAAUGCAUUCGCCCGGAUGGUGUCACGGAGGGGGACGCCUUCGUACGUUUUAUCAGAUAACGGUACCAACUUCGUUUCAGGAGAACGAGAACUGAGAGAACUUGUUGAACAAUUAGACCAAGAGAAGAUUGUUCGGGACAGUUCGCGAUUCUCUCACAUCGAAUGGCAUUUCAACCCUCCAGCUAGCCCACAUUUCGGUGGAGUAUUUGAAGCCAUGAUAAAAAGUGCCAAGAAAGCUAUAAAGGGUAUCUUAGGAAAUGCGGACGUCUCCGAUGAAGAGCUACAUACAGCCAUUUGUGGGGCGGAGAAGUUAUUGAACUCGAGGCCUAUCACGUACGUAAGUUCGGAUUCCAACGACUUAUGUCCUCUCACUCCCAAUCAUUUCAUCCACGGACAGCUUGGAGGAACAUUUGCGGUGGAGGCAAUUGAGGAAGAAACGUUCAACCCCCGCAAAAGAUGGCAUCGUGUUCAACAACUAAUCGGUCAAGUUUGGAAACGUUGGAGAAGGGAAUUGCUCCCGACUUUAAAUCGUAGAAAGAAGUGGUUUCAUCCCACACGUAAUAUGAAGGAAGGAGAUAUUGUUUUAAUGAUUGAGCCAAAUGCAAAUCGCUGUG